CCUACGGGUGGCAGCAGUGGGGAAUAUUGGGCAAUGGGCGCAAGCCUGACCCAGCAACGCCGCGUGAAGGAAGAAGGCUUUCGGGUUGUAAACUUCUUUUCUCAGGGACGAAGAAAGUGACGGUACCUGAGGAAUAAGACACGGCUAACUACGUGCCAGCAGCCGCGGUAAUACGUAGGUGGCAAGCGUUAUCCGGAUUUACUGGGUGUAAAGGGCGUGUAGGCGGGAAAGCAAGUCAGAUGUGAAAACCAUGGGCUCAACCUGUGGCCUGCAUUUGAAACUGUUUUUCUUGAGUACUGGGGAGGCAGACGGAAUUCCUAGUGUAGCGGUGAAAUGCGUAGAUAUUAGGAGGAACACCAGUGGCGAAGGCGGUCUGCUGGACAGCAACUGACGCUGAGGCGCGAAAGCGUGGAGAGCAAACAGGAUUAGAUACCCGUGUAGUC
Molecule: ribosomal RNA, 443 nt
Filed under: uncultured bacterium
Lineage: Bacteria
Description: partial 16S ribosomal RNA
Rfam family: Bacterial small subunit ribosomal RNA
Source: RNAcentral